This 253-nucleotide ribosomal RNA is filed under the name uncultured bacterium. Its description in RNAcentral is "partial 16S ribosomal RNA". It matches the Rfam family "Bacterial small subunit ribosomal RNA", at positions 524 to 776 of the family's 1533-position model. The record is from RNAcentral.
UACAGAGGUCCCAAGCGUUGUUCGGAUUCACUGGGCGUAAAGGGUGCGUAGGCGGUUGGGUAAGUCUGGCGUGAAAUCUCCAAGCCUAACUUGGAAACUGCGUUGGAUACUAUCCGGCUCGAGGAAUGGAGGGGAGACUGGAAUACUUGGUGUAGCAGUGAAAUGCGUAGAUAUCAAGUGGAACACCAGUGGCGAAGGCGAGUCUCUGGACAUUUCCUGACGCUGAGGCACGAAAGCCAGGGGAGCAAACGGG